Molecule: long non-coding RNA, 769 nt
Filed under: Capra hircus (goat)
Lineage: Eukaryota; Metazoa; Chordata; Mammalia; Artiodactyla; Bovidae
Description: lncRNA (ENSCHIG00000001121.1)
Source: RNAcentral
GCAGAAUUUGAAUGACUCUUAAACAAAAUCAGGGACAAGACCGUUGUUAGUGAUCAUUACCCUCACUAUCUUAUUGAAUUUAGGAGCUAAACACACUUAAUCUCACUUUUCCCACCUCUUCAGCAAUUUUAGCAGAAUUUCACUAACUGCCUGUGUGCGUGCGCGCGCGCCAGCGCGUGCGCGGGUAGCUAACUGAAACAACAAAAAGAGAGAUCCUGGGUGAGAAGUCAGAUACAUAUGGGACAGGUCAGCUCCUAGAAGAUCCAUCAGUAGAUGCCAGGAGAAAAGAAGUGCAAGAGCCACCUCAAAGUUCUCUGAGUUCAGUGGGAGUGAAACGCAAACGAAGGAAAGCCAGCUCACACGGAAGCGUCCGCGCGAGGGCCACGCAAAGCAGCACGGGACGGAAGCGGGCAUCUCUGAGGACGCGGCGUCUCAAGGUUCCCACUGUCAAGACGGUCCGGGAGGAAAUGGCCUCGCUAGCCGCACUCCCAAAGUUGGCCCUCAAAUAUGAGAAUCCAAAUAUGACUUUAUUGUACAGAUGGGAGCAGGUGACGAGCAAAGAGGUGCUGUUGUAUUCUUGCCACGAAAAAGAAGAUUCAUCCUUCUCCUUUUGCUUAUAUAUUCAGCAGACCUUACAGCUCAAUAAAAAUGAGAUGUUUAAAUAUUUAAUAAACAUGCGUAGAGCUAAUGUAUUGCUAAAACUGAUGGAGUAGCCUGGCAGAUUCUCACGGAAACAUAAAGUAGCCUAUAUACAAAUGGAGCCGUUCAG